Molecule: ribosomal RNA, 797 nt
Filed under: uncultured bacterium
Lineage: Bacteria
Description: bacterial SSU rRNA
Rfam family: Bacterial small subunit ribosomal RNA
Source: RNAcentral
AGAGUUUGAUCAUGGCUCAGAUUGAACGCUAGCGGCAUGCUUAACACAUGCAAGUCGAACGGUAACAGGUCUAGCUUGCUAGAUGCUGACGAGUGGCGGACGGGUGAGUAACGCGUAGGAAUCUACCUAGUAGUGUGGAAUAACCUGGGGAAACCCAGGCUAAUACCGCAUAAGCCCUAAGGGGGAAAGCAGGGGACCGCAAGGCCUUGUGCUAUUAGAUGAGCCUGCGUCGGAUUAGCUAGUUGGUGGGGUAAAGGCCUACCAAGGCGACGAUCCGUAGCUGGUCUGAGAGGACGACCAGCCACACUGGGACUGAGACACGGCCCAGACUCCUACGGGAGGCAGCAGUGGGGAAUAUUGGACAAUGGGCGCAAGCCUGAUCCAGCAAUGCCGCGUGUGUGAAGAAGGCCUGCGGGUUGUAAAGCACUUUCAGUGGGGAGGAAGGCCUUAGUGUUAAUAUCGCUGAGGAUUGACGUUACCUACAGAAGAAGCACCGGCUAACUCUGUGCCAGCAGCCGCGGUAAUACAGAGGGUGCGAGCGUUAAUCGGAAUUACUGGGCGUAAAGGGCGCGUAGGUGGUUAGUUAAGUCAGAGGUGAAAUCCCCGGGCUCAACCUGGGAAUUGCCUAUGAGACUGAGUAGCUAGAGUAGGGGAGAGGGAAGUGGAAUUUCCGGUGUAGCGGUGAAAUGCGUAGAUAUCGGAAGGAACACCAGUGGCGAAGGCGACUUCCUGGCCUACUACUGACACUGAGGCGCGAAAGCGUGGGGAGCGAACAGGAUUAGAUACCCUAGUAGUCC